AAGCGGUGGAGCAUGUGGUUUAAUUCGAAGCAACGCGAAGAACCUUACCAGGUCUUGACAUCCUUUGACCACUCUAGAGAUAGAGCUUCCCCUUCGGGGGCAAAGUGACAGGUGGUGCAUGGUUGUCGUCAGCUCGUGUCGUGAGAUGUUGGGUUAAGUCCCGCAACGAGCGCAACCCUUAUUGUUAGUUGCCAUCAUUCAGUUGGGCACUCUAGCAAGACUGCCGGUGACAAACCGGAGGAAGGUGGGGAUGACGUCAAAUCAUCAUGCCCCUUAUUGAACUG
This 284-nucleotide ribosomal RNA is filed under the name Enterococcus faecium. RNAcentral describes it as "partial 16S ribosomal RNA". It matches the Rfam family "Bacterial small subunit ribosomal RNA", at positions 927 to 1211 of the family's 1533-position model. The record is from RNAcentral. Lineage: Bacteria; Bacillati; Bacillota; Bacilli; Lactobacillales; Enterococcaceae.